AUUGAACGCUGGCGGCAGGCCUAACACAUGCAAGUCGAACGGUAACAGGAAGAAGCUUGCUUCUUUGCUGACGAGUGGCGGACGGGUGAGUAAUGUCUGGGAAACUGCCUGAUGGAGGGGGAUAACUACUGGAAACGGUAGCUAAUACCGCAUAACGUCGCAAGACCAAAGAGGGGGACCUUCGGGCCUCUUGCCCUCGGAUGUGCCCAGAUGGGAUUAGCUAGUAGGUGGGGUAACGGCUCACCUAGGCGACGAUCCCUAGCUGGUCUGAGAGGAUGACCAGCCACACUGGAACUGAGACACGGUCCAGACUCCUACGGGAGGCAGCAGUGGGGAAUAUUGCACAAUGGGCGCAAGCCUGAUGCAGCCAUGCCGCGUGUAUGAAGAAGGCCUUCGGGUUGUAAAGUACUUUCAGCGGGGAGGAAGGGAGUAAAGUUAAUACCUUGACUCAUUGACGUUACCCGCAGAAGAAGCACCGGCUAACUCCGUG
Molecule: ribosomal RNA, 490 nt
Filed under: uncultured bacterium
Lineage: Bacteria
Description: partial 16S ribosomal RNA
Rfam family: Bacterial small subunit ribosomal RNA
Source: RNAcentral